AAGAAAACUAUGGUCAAUUGAGGCUUGUGUUAGAAGUUGUACAAUUUUGUUUCUUGCCAUCACUCAUUCUUACUGUGAUGGUUAAAUAUUUUACUUCCAGUUUCUGCUUGAAAUAAUUAGGCGCUACUCAUCAAGCAAUUGUAGUUACUGUGGAUGAAGCAUGUUGUUUGUACAUUUGGGUUUCAAAUAGAAAAUUAUUUUUUCUUUCUAAAUUCUAGGUUGAAUUUUCAAAACCAAACAACUCGUAGAUGCAUAUGUGAAUAAGUAUGUUUUGCGACCUUCACAUGCAAGCUUAUUUGAGAAGUGCAUUUUUUGUGCACUUAUUUAAUGCACAAACAUGAUUAAAUCACGAGAUAAAUAUUUAGAUUGUGGCUUAAAUUUGUUUAAUUGUUGGAUUGUAGGGUAUAGUGAAGGACAUGGUGGAAUUCACGAGAAAAAGAAGCAAAGAGGACCAAAACGAAACAAAAUAAAAGUUCAGAGACCAAUAUACAAAUAUCCAAAAGAUGAACCAAUGGAGCAAUAAAACAUUCGAUCGAGCCAAGUACCAAUUGGAGGUUAACAUUAAUAGAUGGAAUGAAAAGAAGGAAGAAACGAGGCCAAGAAUGUGGAAAAAAAAAAGUUUAAGGACCAAAAUCAACGUUCGGAAAAGAGGAACCUUUGCGGUUGCAUAGGUUAUACCUAUGUGAUCGCAUAGGAACCUCUCGAACACUAAAGGGCCAAUUUUUGUUAGCCUAUGC
RNAcentral lists this long non-coding RNA (737 nucleotides) under Olea europaea (common olive). RNAcentral's name for it is "long non-coding RNA (OEUR_LNC013648)". The record is from RNAcentral. Lineage: Eukaryota; Viridiplantae; Streptophyta; Magnoliopsida; Lamiales; Oleaceae.